GGCAAAGCCCUGCUGCCCUGAGGAGGAGGAAGGGCAGCCGGAUGAGGAUGUUGGAGGAUGAUGGCCAGGCCUGGCGGUGGUGGGGAGAUGGCAGCAGCGGUGGGGGGGCUGGCCUGGCCCGGCUUGGCCAGUGAGGCGGCAGCCCUGCUGCCAGGAAGAGCCACCAGGAAGAGGAAGAGGGAGGCCAAGAGGAGCCCGGCUGGCGGCAGAGCCAUGCCACACCAGGCGGGGAAGGAAAGUGCUGAUGGUGGGUGGGGAGAGAAAGAUGAGAGGAGCCCGGCUGGGGAAGGCGCAGAUGCUGGGAGGGAGAACAGUCUUCUUGCCAUAAUUCUAUCCUCCAGAAGAGGUGCCUAUCAUUGCUGUAUGUCCAGAAAAAUGAUUUUAUUUAUUCUGCAUUCCUACUGUAUUUCAUUAAAACUGGAAAUCCAAUAAUAAUUCUUAAUAAUACAA
This is a long non-coding RNA of Hemicordylus capensis (graceful crag lizard), 450 nucleotides long. RefSeq lists it as uncharacterized. The transcript is spliced from 2 exons. Lineage: Eukaryota; Metazoa; Chordata; Lepidosauria; Squamata; Cordylidae. The record is from RefSeq and is a predicted model, not a curated record.